This is a non-coding RNA of Mycena capillaripes, 121 nucleotides long. The record is from the annotation of a GenBank genome assembly. Lineage: Eukaryota; Fungi; Basidiomycota; Agaricomycetes; Agaricales; Mycenaceae.
GGUGAGAUGGCCGAGCGGUCUAAGGCGCCAGACUAAGGAUCAGCUUCAGUGUGAAGCAACAUUUACUCAGUAGUGGGUAAUCUGGUCCUCCGGGGCGUGGGUUCGAAUCCCACUCUCAUCA